GGCCGCGGGAAUUGGAUUCAGGCUUAACACAUGCAAGUCGAACGGCAGCACGGGAGCAAUCCUGGUGGCGAGUGAAGAAAGGGUGAGUAAUGUAUCGGAACGUGCCCAGUCGUGGGGGAUAAGGCAGCGAAAGUUGUGCUAAUGCCGCAUACGAUGUAUGGAUGAAAGCGGGGGAUCGCAAGACCUCGCGCGAUUGGAGUGGCCGAUAUCAGAUUAGCUAGUUGGUGGGGUAAAAGCUUACCAAGGCGAUGAUCUGUAGCUGGUCUGAGAGGACGUCCAGCCACACUGGAACUGAGACACGGUCCAGACUCCUACGGGAGGCAGCAGUGGGGAAUUUUGGACAAUGGGCGCAAGCCUGAUCCAGCAAAGGCGCGUGCAGGAUGAAGGCCUUCGGGUUGUAAUCUAAACGGGUACGGAGCGAAAAGGCUUUCUCUAAUACAGAGGGCUCAUGACGGUACCGUAA
RNAcentral lists this ribosomal RNA (463 nucleotides) under uncultured bacterium. Its description in RNAcentral is "bacterial SSU rRNA". It matches the Rfam family "Bacterial small subunit ribosomal RNA", at positions 36 to 483 of the family's 1533-position model. The record is from RNAcentral.